ACGUAGGGAGCAAGCGUUGUUCGGAUUUACUGGGCGUAAAGGGCGCGUAGGCGGCAAUUCAAGUCAUCUGUGAAAUCUCCGGGCUUAACUCGGAACUGUCAGAUGAUACUGCUUUGCUAGAGUGCAGAAGGGGCAACUGGAAUUCUCGGUGUAGCGGUGAAAUGCGUAGAUAUCGAGAGGAACACCUGCGGCGAAGGCGGGUUGCUGGGCUGACACUGACGCUGAGGCGCGAAAGCUAGGGGAGCGAACGGGA
Molecule: ribosomal RNA, 253 nt
Filed under: uncultured prokaryote
Description: partial 16S ribosomal RNA
Rfam family: Bacterial small subunit ribosomal RNA
Source: RNAcentral